UACGUAGGGGGCAAGCGUUGUCCGGAUUUAUUGGGCGUAGAGAGCUCGUAGGUGGUUCGGUAAGUCGGAUGUGAAAUCUCCAGGCUCAACCUGGAGGGGUCAUUCGAUACUGCCGUGACUAGAGGUCGGUAGGGGAGUGUGGAAUUCCUGGUGGAGCGGUGAAAUGCGCAGAUAUCAGGAGGAACACCCGUAGCGAAGGCGGCACUCUGGGCCGAUACUGACACUGAGGAGCGAAAGCGUGGGGAGCGAACAGG
Molecule: ribosomal RNA, 254 nt
Filed under: uncultured bacterium
Lineage: Bacteria
Description: partial 16S ribosomal RNA
Rfam family: Bacterial small subunit ribosomal RNA
Source: RNAcentral